RNAcentral lists this ribosomal RNA (497 nucleotides) under uncultured bacterium. RNAcentral's name for it is "partial 16S ribosomal RNA". It matches the Rfam family "Bacterial small subunit ribosomal RNA", at positions 28 to 507 of the family's 1533-position model. The record is from RNAcentral.
GAUGAACGCUGGCGGCGUGCCUAAUACAUGCAAGUCGAGCGAACAGACGAGGAGCUUGCUCCUCUGACGUUAGCGGCGGACGGGUGAGUAACACGUGGAUAACCUACCUAUCAGACUGGGAUCACUUCGGGAAACCGGAGCUAAUACCGGAUAAUCUAUUGAACCGCAUGGUUCAAUAGUGAAAGACGGUUUUGCUGUCACUUAUAGAUGGAUCCGCGCCGCAUUAGCUAGUUGGUAAGGUAACGGCCUACCAAGGCAACGAUGCGUAGCCGACCUGAGAGGGGGAUAGGCCACACUGGAGCUGAGACACGGUCCAGACUCCUACGGGAGGCAGCAGUAGGGAAUCGUCCGCAAUGGGCGAAAGCUUGACGGAGCAACGCCGCGUGAGUGAUGAAGGUCUUCGGAUCGUAAAACUCUGUUAUUAGUGAAGAACAAAUGUGUAAGUAACUAUGCACGUCUUGACGGUACCUAAUCAGAAAGCCACGGCUAACUACGUG